CAACCUGGUCCCAAGAUCGGGGCAUUCAGGAAGCACACGCACAGGGGACAGAGUAGGGCAUGCUAACGUUAGCCUCUAGGUAAUUCAAGGUGACACGAGUCCCAGUAGUGUGUCCUAGUUUGGCAUAAGAAACCAAAGCCCAGACCCUUAAGCACACUGCUCCAGGGCAGUGUUAGCACAGCUCUGCUCUCCUAGUCAAGCGGUGGGUGCAGGCCAGGCUACACAGCGCCACCAACAAGGGGGGAUUAGAAAUGGGGACGUUGCUGGGUCAUCAGAUGACCACAGAGCGCUCUCACAAUGAGACUCAUCUGUUGAUACAUUUGCCCUCACAGAUCCUCACAGCACUCUUUAGUGCUUGAAGCAGCUUGCUUCUCCACCCCUUGAAAGGACAAUCCUAGCGAUUCCGGCAUCAAUGAGCCUGAACUUCUGUCUGACAUAGUUACCCUGCACCCUCCUACAGGUGCUGAGCUAGCUAACAGCUGGGAUCCAGCCGCAGGAAGGCAGGGAGUGAGGCAGUGCCGGGACCCAGCUCUGGAGCCCACCCUGCAAACAGAAUGAAUCUCAACCCACUCUGCACCCACCACCAAUCUAAACCACACCGGAGACGUCAAUCUGAGCAACUGUAGCACGGUGAAAUGUGCUAGACUCUGGCAGCCAAGGCCCGCAUCUCAGUAAAGCGCGUCUUUCCUCCGGCCUUUGGGCCAGCCUGUGGUGGAUGAGGGAAAUCCCGCCCUCCCUCCCCUAGGGCCCAGGCACACCGCUGGUUGAAGUGCUGCUCUCGGACAUCGCUGCCAUUCAGCACCAGGACAUCGAGGAUGUGGAUUGCACUGAUCUUCCGCUGGGCCUUCCCCUGCAAGGGACAAGCACGCUCUCCACUGUGCAGGUGCUAGCCUCUGGCCUACAGUGGCAUGCAGGCUCCAUCCACCCAGAGUCAACUGGGAAAGUGGUAUCUGGCCUCCCUGCCAGCUGACCCUAAGCAAAGACUAGCUUGGACUUGAGAGCUGGCUUUAGGGGCAUGCACCCUCGUGAAUCUCAAACACAGUGAGACUGUGGCCAUGCUUGCUUCUGCCAGGACUGGCUUUCCACUGUUGCCUGUUCACAUGGGUGUUCUAAACGUCAUCCCUAUACAGAAAUAACGCAAACCUCACAGAAAUGGCAGGUCUCUUCCUAAGAGAUUGCUACUAAAAACACCUGGCAGGUGUCAGGACUGUGGAUAGAGACUUUCUGUCUGCCCCUUCCCAGUGUCUCCACAGUACAUGGCAACUGCUUUAGAGGGAAUUACUCCAUCACACAUGAAACAACGCUAAGGUGGACGGCCAGGCUUCAUGGUCCCCCUCUCGCCUCAGGGCCAUCUAUGAAUAGAAACCCUUCUGACCUCGCCUUUCAGCUCAUGCACAAUCUCCACACAGAGCAGCGUGUCCCGCGGCAGCUCUGUCUUCAGGUCCAGCUUCACCCAACGGUCUGACUGGCGGCCAUCCCAUGUGUAGAUCUGGGACUUCUGCAGGCAGGAAGAAAGGUAGCAUGGACACUGAGGAAAGGAAGGUCGAUUCUCAAAAGAGCUUUUACUUGUGGCUGCAAGCAGACAAGGGCCAGCCAGUGUCAGUAGAAAAUGUCUAGGAGAGGUGGUUUGUGAAACUUUCCUCCUCAGCCUCCACAGGAGAGUAGAGAUGGGCGCCAUCUUACUGGUAGGGAACCCUACAAAGGCCUUCAUCUAGUUUGAUGUACAUGUGGAGGUUGGGAUUACAGGAACAGGAGAAAAUACAAAGUAAAGCCACAAAACAAGUGACUGGGGAAGAGUCAACUACGUGGAAGGCAAGGGGUAGGAAAAAGCAAUGGCUGCUUGUCAAGUAAGAUGUAAAAGUUAACAGGCAAUCCCUCCCUCUGUUAAGCCAACAAUGUCCCAGAGGAGGGAGAAGGGUGUCCUCUAGACAGGAAAUGGCAGGGGGUGGGAUUGGAGAAAACUGGCCACCCAGGACAAGUCUGAGGGCUCUACAUUUCAAGAAAAGCAAGAGCCUUGCCUUCAGCAAGGCAGGGAUCAGCAGUGAAGAAGAAAGAAAUAUGCUUGACAAACUCUGGGCACAAAAGAGAGUGGCCAGCACCCACAUCUCCAGACAGAAGACACUGCUACCACCCCGAGGCCACGGGAGGCCAGCUGUGACUUACCCCCAGGCCCAGGAGGAAUUUCUGCUCGCUGCCAGACACCAUGCAACGAUAAUCCAACACAGGGCGGAUCUUCUCCAGGGUUUUGGCAGUGAGCAUUGUGGGCUUGUAGCUAAAGAUGUUGAUGUCGGUGUCCUGUGGAACAGAUGAGAAAAAUGCUGCUGUGCCGGAGCAGGCUGCAGAGGUGAGGGACAGGAAUCAUCUGCUCUCUGAAGCAGGCUCUCCUGCACCCUCCUCUCCACCCAGCCACUCCCUAAACAGAAUCCAUUCCUAUCUGCUCGCAAUGUCCUUUUAGGCCCUACUAGGAGAAACUAGGGAAGGAAAGAACACUGAGUUUCAAGUACAGAAGGAUUUACCAGAGCUGUGGGGAAUGUCACCAGAAUAGAGCAGCUACGCAAUCAGUGACACCAAAAGCAAGGGUUCCCCAACAGUUGGCCUGAGAGCAGAGAAUUAAUCUCUCUGCCCCAUUCAGAAAAAUGUAAGCAUCUUGAACUCAUUCUUUAGUCUUUGGCCCUCACAAAACCAGCACAAUGACCACAGCUGGGCCAGACUGAAGUGACACCCUGGAGGCUGAUGCCAGAACACUUAAGACCAGCUCACUAAAGACAGAAUAGAGACGCUCAGGCUAGACCCACUGUGGCUCUUUGCAGUUCCCAAGAUCAUCAGUCAUCCCCUCUCUCCCAAGCAGACAAAUCCCAUAUGACCUUUAAUUUUUUAGAACCUUUUGGGUGGCAGAAUGCUGGCCCACACCCAUCUUGAUUCUUGCUGGCCAGAGUUAUUCUUGGGAAACCCUAUGUAAAACAGCAAGGCUCUCACUUGUGGAGACCUUAGUCCACUCCUUUAGGUUCCAAGGUUGAUGCCUUCUUUUUUUUUUUUUUGGUUUUUUGAGACAGGGUUUCUCUGUAUUGUUUUGGAGGCUGUCCUGGAACUCACUCUGUAGACCAGGCUGGCCUCGAACUCACAGAGAUCCGCCUGCCUCUGCCUCCCGAGUGCUGGGAUUAAAGGCGUGCGCCAGGUUGAUGCCUUCUUAAUCCUUAUUGGAAGUCAGGUACCUCAGUGACACCUUCCAUCCCUAGAAAAAGGCCCUUAAUAUAUUGCCACAGAAGCCAGAUUUACCUUGAUUAGCUCAAAAAACUUGAAUUUUGGGUCUGAAGAAGAAGGAGCAACUCGAGCUCGGUCUGGGAUCUGCAAGGAGAGAGAGAUACCAAAGGUUUUUUUUUUUUCAUUUAUGUGUGUGGAUGUGUUGGGGGUCUAUAUGUUCGUGUACCACGUGUGUGCCUGCAGAGACCAGAAGAAGGCAUCAGAUCUUUAGGAACUGGAGUUACAGGCAGUUGUGAGCUACCAUGUGCUGCAAACCAAAUGUGGGUCCUCUGGGAGAGCAGCUAGUGCUCUUGACCUGAGCCAUCUCUGCAGCCCCGGCUUUGGUUUUCAAGUGCCCUGUUGAUACAUCGUGAGGACACAUGUUUAGGCUGGGUACAGAGGAGAUGGCACGCAAGCAAGCAGGCCUGGCAAGGGAGCUAGAGGUAAAACAUUCACUCCCUGUCACGACAACUCAAAAAGCCAAGUCCUUUCCUCUAUGUGUGUAACUACAUGGGGUCAUCAGGGCAAAACUGUGUUCUUUUGGCCCUUCUGCAGACCAAGCUGUAACUUGCAACAUGCCAAGGAGCUGGACACCCUUUCAGGUGGGGGGUAAGGUGACAAUCCUGUUUUCAUCUCCAGCUUCCUGGUCUGGAGUGACAAUGGGCUGCUUACCUCCCACAGUCGGAGGCAUUCUUUCCGGAUCUCUGCCUGCCUAGGCUCACUCAGGGUGCUAGAGAAACAAAACCAGAACAAGAUUUAGACCUCUAAGGGGCCCUGUGAUCUUCUCACCUGCUUAGAGGUACACCUCCAACAGUGAAAAUUAGAGUCCACAUAGAGGACUAACCUCCAAAGGCAACUCAGAAUUUAUAUACUGAAAUCACUUCCCUUCCCACCAACUGCAGCCACCACCUGGAUGCCCUCCUUCCCUCCACCAUCAAGCAUAUUCUGAUUUCUGAUCUCAAAGACAUUGACACUUGAUAUCCCACAAGGCAAACUGAACCCACAAGAGUGGCUUUUAAGUCACUGUUAAAGAAACAGAGUUGGUGGGAAAAGCAAAGAGAGGGCCUCCUUUGACAUUGGUGGGAAAUAGCAGUACUCACGUGUCUUGUACAAAGGCAUGUAUUUUGGCCAGAGCUUUGAUCUGCAGGCUGCAGUGGCUAAGAGAAAGCAAACAAAAACACAAUGGCAUCAGUGUAGAAGUGUAGCCAGAGCAGUGGCCAUCUGUAUGUGAGGAAGCUACCGGUGAGUUAAAUGGAGCCCAAAGACAGAGCAGAACAAACCUGAGCUGAACCCUCAUCACAACUCCUGCUGAAAGGAAGGUUCGUAUCCCACUCUUACAGAAUUCAAACACAGUGGUGAACUGGCUCUAAGCAACAGCAAAGGCCCCGCCCAGUUCAACUGCAGACAUCACUGACAAACCCACUGCACUGACAACUGUCCUUUAGCCUGGCACACACACAGUGUCUGGCACUUAGUAAAAACUACUGAGGGGGCUGGGGAGGUGGCUCAGCAGGUAAAGUGCUUGCUCUGCAAACAUUGGACGAGAGUCCAGGUUCUCAGGACCUGAAUAAAUCCUGGGCAAGCACUGGCAGCUCGCCAGAGAUUCCAGCACUGAGGAGGUGGAGACAGGAUCUCUGGAACAAACUGGCUAGCUAGGCUAGGUGAGUUGGUGAGCUCUAGGUUCAAGUGAGAGACCCUACCUCAGUAUAUAAGGUAGAAAGCAUUUGAGGACGACACCUGACAUCAACCUGCGGCCUCUUGAAAACCAGAGGAAAAGGCACAUAAUACACAAGAAAAUAAUGACAAAACUAACAGUGGCAGUUGGAGGUGGCUCAGUGGUUAAAAGCACCCACAUCAAGCGGCUCACAACCACCUGUAACUCCAGCUUCAGGGAUCCAAUGUUCUGGCCACUGCAGACAAAGGCACUCGCAUGCACAGACACAAAAUUGGAAAGAAAAUAUUUUUUGAUAGUGAACUUCCCGUCAGAAGAAAGGGAUGUGAGAAACGUGGACUAUCGUUAAAGUGGUAAAAGAAAAAAUUUCAUAUCUAAAUAAAAUGUUCCUCAAAAAUAA
This is a long non-coding RNA of Mesocricetus auratus (golden hamster), 5312 nucleotides long. RefSeq lists it as uncharacterized. The record is from RefSeq and is a predicted model, not a curated record. Lineage: Eukaryota; Metazoa; Chordata; Mammalia; Rodentia; Cricetidae. The transcript has 2 exons.